UAGGAAUUGUAUAAUAUUUUCCCCAAAAAAAAACUCUUUUGUCGAGGCUCUGUCUUCUUCACAAUCUCAAUUCCCCUUCACACAUCGAACCUCCAUCUCUGACAACUUCAUCUCAGUCGCAGCCGCCUUUCGUUUCGUCACAUCCUCCCUAAAUCGGCAUCAUCUCUGUACACGAUGAAGCCUAACUCCGAACCCUAACUCCGAUUUGGCUUCGUCACAUCCGCCUCAAAAUCGAAGAAUAUUGAAACGGUGAGUGAUAAAUAUAUUAAUUUCAAGCCUUUUUCGAUAUGCAGAAACUGGUCCAGAGAGAAAUGGAGAAUGGUUGGUCUGUUCUGUCUACUGUCCAUGGGAUAUUUGGUAUUUCAAGCAAUAGUCGGAUCCCUUUGCAUUGUGGGUUUGAAGACACGCAAGACAACUCGGAGAAGAUUAAAGUGCAAACUUAUGCUUAGGUCAAUAAAGAAUAAAGAUGAUCGUCGUAUUGCUAACGGAUGAACUGUUUUUCACCAUUUUCUUGGCAGUGGAUCCUGAGAUUAUGGGUGUGUGUAGGAAUGGAGAGUGAUUCAUGGGAAUAAAUUUGUAUAGACAUUUAGGAAUAGGUUGGACUGGAACAUGAAUUCAAAUUGGGAAGAGAAGCGACGAUGCGUAGAACCACUAAUAUUGCUACUUUCCUGGCUGCUAACCCUUCUAGGGAAGAAAAGCAGGAGCACGAGUGUUCUUGAAUAAUGUGUGGAUAUGUGUUUAUUGUUUUUGGAGUCUUGGAUGUAGACAGUGGUCAAGAGUUUAUUGCUAGGGCUGUUCUUGUCUAGUUUAGUAGUUAUUGUAACAACUUUUUUUGUUGUUUCUCGUUUAGAUUUUCAACAUUUGAUUGUAUCAUUUAUCAAUGUAUAUCAGUUUAUCAA
This is a long non-coding RNA of Raphanus sativus (radish), 899 nucleotides long. RefSeq lists it as uncharacterized. The record is from RefSeq and is a predicted model, not a curated record. NCBI's taxonomy places the organism in Eukaryota, Viridiplantae, Streptophyta, Magnoliopsida, Brassicales, Brassicaceae. The transcript has 2 exons.